CCGGCGGCCGGGCCGGCAUCCUCGCGGCGUCCCUCCGCUAGAGGGGGGGACCAAGCCAAUUCUCCUUUGCAGCAAAAAAUUACAUGUAUAUAUUAUCAAGAUAAUAUAUACAUCCGAUCUUAUUUUUUAAAAAAAGUUUAUUUUGCUCCGAUUUUGAAAAAGAGGGAGGGUGGGUGGCCAGCGGUUUUUAUAAAUUAUUCUUAUUUUCUGUUAUCUGUCCCCGUCCCUCCCCACCCCCUGCUGAAGCUUGAAUAAGGGCAGGGAUCGCGGCUCCUACCUAUCGGUCACCCCCUUGCCCGUUCCUCCCCCGCCCCAUCGCCUAGCACAGUGCCCUGCACACAGUAGGCGCUCAAUAAAUGUUCGUGGAUGAUGAUGAUGAUGAUGAUGAAAAAAAUGCAGCAUCAACGGCAGCAGCAAGCGGACCACGCGAACGAGGCAAACUAUGCAAGAGGCACCAGGCUCCCUCUUUCUGGUGAAGGACCAACUUCUCAGCCGAAUAGCUCCAAGCAAACCGUCCUGUCUUGGCAAGCCGCGAUCGACGCUGCUAGACAGGCCAAGGCUGCCCAAACUAUGAGCACCUCUGCACCCGCACCUGUAGGAUCUCUCUCCCAAAGAAAACGUCAGCAAUACGCCAAGAGCAAAAAACAGGGUAACUCGUCCAGCAGCCGACCUGCCCGCGCCCUUUUCUGUUUGUCACUCAAUAACCCCAUCCGAAGAGCCUGCAUUAGUAUAGUGGAAUGGAAACCAUUUGACAUAUUUAUAUUAUUGGCUAUUUUUGCCAAUUGUGUGGCCUUAGCUAUUUACAUCCCAUUCCCUGAAGAUGAUUCUAAUUCAACAAAUCAUAACUUGGAAAAAGUAGAAUAUGCCUUCCUGAUUAUUUUUACAGUCGAAACAUUUUUGAAGAUUAUAGCGUAUGGAUUAUUGCUACAUCCUAAUGCUUAUGUUAGAAAUGGAUGGAAUUUACUGGAUUUUGUUAUAGUAAUAGUAGGAUUGUUUAGUGUAAUUUUGGAACAAUUAACCAAAGAAACAGAAGGCGGCAACCACUCCAGUGGCAAAUCGGGAGGCUUUGAUGUCAAAGCCCUCCGCGCCUUUCGAGUGUUACGACCACUUCGACUAGUAUCAGGAGUGCCCAGUUUACAGGUUGUCCUGAACUCCAUCAUAAAAGCCAUGGUUCCCCUCCUUCACAUAGCCCUUUUGGUGUUAUUUGUAAUCAUAAUCUAUGCUAUUAUAGGAUUGGAACUUUUUAUUGGAAAAAUGCACAAAACAUGUUUUUUUGCUGACUCAGAUAUCGUAGCUGAGGAGGACCCAGCACCGUGUGCGUUCUCAGGGAAUGGACGCCAGUGUACCGCCAAUGGCACAGAGUGCAGGAGUGGCUGGGUUGGCCCCAAUGGCGGCAUCACCAACUUUGAUAACUUUGCCUUUGCCAUGCUCACCGUGUUUCAGUGCAUCACCAUGGAGGGCUGGACAGACGUGCUCUACUGGGUAAAUGAUGCGAUAGGAUGGGAAUGGCCAUGGGUGUAUUUUGUUAGUCUGAUCAUCCUUGGCUCAUUUUUCGUCCUUAACCUGGUUCUUGGUGUCCUUAGUGGAGAAUUCUCCAAGGAAAGGGAGAAGGCGAAAGCACGGGGAGACUUCCAGAAGCUGCGGGAGAAGCAGCAGCUGGAAGAGGAUCUCAAGGGCUACUUGGAUUGGAUCACCCAAGCAGAAGAUAUUGAUCCCGAGAACGAAGAAGAAGGAGGAGAGGAAAGCAAACGAAAUACCAGCAUGCCCACCAGUGAGACGGAGUCUGUGAACACGGAGAACGUGAGUGGGGAAGGCGAGAACCAAGGCUGCUGUGGGAGCCUCUGGUGCUGGUGGAGAAGAAGAGGCACCACCAAGGCCGGGCCCUCUGGGUGUCGGCGGUGGGGUCAAGCCAUCUCAAAGUCCAAGCUCAGCCGACGCUGGCGCCGCUGGAACCGCUUCAGUCGCAGAAGGUGUAGGGCUGCCGUGAAGUCUGUCACGUUUUACUGGCUGGUUAUUGUCCUGGUGUUUCUCAACACCUUAACCAUUUCCUCUGAGCACUACAACCAGCCUGACUGGUUGACACAGAUUCAAGAUAUCGCUAACAAAGUCCUCCUGGCUCUGUUCACCUGCGAGAUGCUUGUAAAGAUGUACAGCUUGGGUCUGCAGGCAUAUUUCGUCUCUCUUUUCAAUCGGUUUGAUUGCUUCGUGGUGUGUGGAGGAAUCACGGAAACGAUCUUGGUGGAACUGGAAAUCAUGUCUCCUCUGGGCAUCUCUGUGUUUCGCUGUGUGCGGCUCCUGAGAAUUUUCAAAGUGACCAGGCACUGGACCUCCCUGAGCAACUUGGUGGCAUCCUUGUUAAACUCCAUGAAGUCCAUCGCUUCGCUGCUGCUGCUGCUUUUUCUCUUCAUCAUCAUCUUUUCCUUGCUGGGGAUGCAGCUGUUCGGCGGCAAGUUUAAUUUUGACGAAACUCAAACCAAGCGGAGCACCUUCGAUAAUUUCCCUCAAGCGCUUCUAACGGUGUUCCAGAUUCUGACAGGUGAAGACUGGAACGCUGUGAUGUAUGAUGGCAUUAUGGCAUACGGGGGCCCGUCGUCUUCGGGAAUGAUCGUCUGCAUCUACUUCAUCAUCCUCUUCAUUUGUGGUAACUAUAUUCUACUGAAUGUCUUCUUGGCCAUCGCUGUAGACAACUUGGCAGAUGCUGAAAGUUUGAAUACUGCUCAGAAAGAGGAAGCUGAGGAAAAGGAAAGGAAGAAGAUUGCCAGAAAAGAAAGCCUGGAAAAUAAAAAGAACAACAAACCAGAAAUCAACCAGAUAGCCAACAGCGACAACAAGGUCACCAUCGAUGACUACCGAGAAGAGGAUGAGGACAAAGACCCCUACCCGCCUUGUGAUGUGCCAGUAGGUGAAGAGGAAGAGGAGGAGGAAGAGGAUGAACCCGAGGUUCCUGCUGGCCCCCGUCCUCGAAGAAUGUCUGAGUUGAACAUGAAAGAGAAAAUCACCCCCAUCCCCGAAGGGAGCGCUUUCUUCAUUCUUAGCAAGACCAACCCGAUCCGCGUGGGCUGCCACAAGCUCAUCAACCACCACGUCUUCACCAACCUUAUCCUCGUCUUCAUCAUGCUGAGCAGCGCUGCCCUCGCCGCCGAGGACCCCAUCCGCAGCCACUCCUUCCGGAACACUAUACUGGGUUACUUUGACUAUGCUUUCACAGCCAUCUUUACUGUUGAAAUCCUGUUGAAGAUGACGACUUUCGGAGCUUUCCUCCACAAAGGGGCUUUCUGCAGGAACUACUUCAACUUACUGGAUAUGCUGGUCGUUGGGGUGUCUCUGGUGUCAUUUGGGAUCCAAUCCAGUGCCAUCUCAGUCGUGAAGAUCCUGAGAGUCUUAAGGGUUCUGAGACCGCUCAGGGCAAUCAACAGAGCAAAAGGACUUAAGCACGUGGUCCAGUGCGUCUUUGUGGCCAUCCGGACAAUUGGCAACAUCAUGAUCGUCACCACCCUCCUCCAGUUCAUGUUUGCUUGCAUUGGGGUGCAGCUCUUCAAGGGAAAGUUUUAUCGAUGCACAGAUGAAGCCAAAAGUAACCCCGAAGAAUGCAGGGGGCUCUUCAUCCUCUACAAGGACGGGGAUGUCGAUAACCCUGUGGUCCGUGAGAGGAUCUGGCAAAACAGCGACUUCAACUUUGACAACGUCCUCUCAGCUAUGAUGGCUCUGUUCACGGUCUCCACGUUCGAGGGCUGGCCCGCGUUGCUGUACAAGGCCAUCGACUCGAACGGGGAGAACGUCGGCCCCAUCUACAACUACCGUGUGGAGAUCUCCAUCUUCUUCAUCAUCUACAUCAUCAUCGUAGCGUUCUUCAUGAUGAACAUCUUUGUGGGCUUCGUCAUCGUCACAUUUCAGGAGCAGGGGGAGAAAGAGUAUAAGAACUGUGAGCUGGACAAAAAUCAGCGUCAAUGUGUUGAAUACGCCUUGAAAGCACGUCCCUUGCGAAGAUACAUCCCCAAAAACCCCUACCAGUACAAGUUCUGGUACGUGGUGAACUCCUCGCCUUUCGAGUACAUGAUGUUUGUCCUCAUCAUGCUCAACACACUCUGCUUGGCCAUGCAGCACUACGAGCAGUCCAAGAUGUUUAAUGACGCCAUGGACAUCCUGAACAUGGUGUUCACCGGGGUGUUCACUGUCGAGAUGGUUUUGAAAGUCAUUGCAUUUAAACCUAAGGGGUACUUUAGUGAUGCCUGGAACACGUUUGACUCCCUCAUCGUAAUCGGCAGCAUUGUAGACGUGGCGCUCAGCGAAGCUGACCACUAUUUCACUGAUGCAUGGAACACUUUUGAUGCCUUAAUUGUUGUUGGUAGCGUCGUUGAUAUUGCUAUAACUGAAGUGAAUCCAACUGAAAGUGAAAAUGUCCCUGUCCCAACUGCUACACCUGGGAACUCUGAAGAGAGCAAUAGAAUCUCCAUCACCUUUUUCCGUCUUUUCCGAGUGAUGCGAUUGGUGAAGCUUCUCAGCAGGGGGGAAGGCAUCCGGACACUGCUGUGGACUUUUAUUAAGUCCUUCCAGGCGCUCCCGUAUGUCGCCCUUCUCAUCGCCAUGCUGUUCUUCAUCUACGCGGUUAUCGGCAUGCAGAUGUUUGGGAAAGUUGCCAUGAGAGAUAACAACCAGAUCAACAGGAACAACAAUUUCCAGACCUUUCCGCAGGCCGUACUGCUGCUCUUCAGGUGUGCGACGGGGGAGGCCUGGCAGGAAAUCAUGCUGGCCUGCCUCCCGGGAAAGCUCUGUGACCCCGAGUCCGAUUACAACCCCGGGGAGGAGUACACCUGCGGGAGCAACUUUGCCAUUGUUUAUUUCAUCAGUUUUUACAUGCUCUGUGCAUUUCUGAUCAUCAACCUGUUUGUGGCUGUCAUCAUGGACAAUUUCGAUUAUCUGACCCGGGACUGGUCUAUUCUGGGGCCUCACCAUUUAGACGAAUUCAAAAGAAUAUGGUCCGAAUAUGACCCCGAGGCAAAGGGAAGAAUCAAGCACCUGGACGUGGUCACUCUGCUCCGCCGCAUCCAGCCCCCCCUGGGGUUUGGGAAAUUGUGUCCACACAGGGUAGCCUGCAAGAGACUAGUUGCCAUGAACAUGCCGCUCAACAGUGAUGGGACAGUCAUGUUUAACGCAACUCUGUUUGCUUUGGUCCGAACGGCUCUUAAAAUCAAGACGGAAGGGAACCUGGAACAAGCUAAUGAAGAACUCCGAGCUGUGAUCAAGAAAAUCUGGAAGAAAACCAGCAUGAAACUACUUGACCAAGUUGUCCCUCCAGCUGGUGAUGAUGAGGUAACCGUGGGGAAGUUCUAUGCCACUUUCCUGAUACAGGACUACUUUAGGAAAUUCAAGAAACGGAAAGAACAAGGACUGGUGGGAAAAUACCCCGCGAAGAGCAGCACAAUUGCCCUACAGAUGCUUGAACGGAUGCUUUAGAAUUUUCUGCCUGAGCUACAGCACCACGCUCGUUAGUCGGAAGGCGUUUGUGGCUAAGGCCUUGAAAGGGAAAAGCCUCAAGUGGGCUUAUUUCUACUGAAACAGCAUUUCGGGAGAAAUGCAGGAAAAAGCAAACCCAAGGCCCCAGAGAGACCCCUUCCAAGCAAAGCACUCCUCCGGAAGGUGGAAGCAGGGCCGUGGCUCAACUGCGGAGCCGUGGUCUCCUGUCACGGACGCUGCUCGGUGGCUCCUUUUCAUGAAAGGGAAUGAGCAAAGGCUUAACAGUUUUCCCUUCCAAGCAGAGACUCAGAGAAAGGGAAAGAGUGAGAGCAAAGGAGGGGGGCAGCCGCCCCACAGAGAAAUGAAAUGAACACAACUUCCUGAUGCUGGCCAGUAAAAAAAAAAAAAAAAAAAAAAAUUCAUAAAAAGAUUAAGCAGACCUGCGUAAGGUGGGCAGCUGACUCCGUUCCAAAGUCCUGCAUCCCUAGUUUACCUGAACUACCAAAGACUGGCAGGCCCCUUGGCACUGGGCUGACAAAAUUCCUUUUAUAUAUGCCAGUCCAUCAUGACCUCCUGACCAUCCAGCUCCACUCUCUGCAGUGACCAGUGCAGGAUGAAGGGAGAUGUGGACAGGACAGGAAGCUCAGACACCCCCAUUUAAACUAACACAUACACCUGCAUGCCCAAACCAACCCAGGCGACACCUCAGGUUCCAUCUUAACGCGUCCGCGGGAAAUACCACCACACCCAAACCUCAUCCGACAUUGUCCGUCUUUAAUUCAAAGCCAGUCUGGGGAUGCCUCUUUGGAAGCAGUGUGGUCCAGUUUCAAGGACACUGGGAGUCAGGGAACCUGGGUUCUAGUCCCAGUUCCAGCGUUCACUUGCUGUGUGACCUUGGGCAAGACACUUAACCUCUCUGUGCCUCAGUUUCCCCAUCUGUAAAAUGGGGGUAAUAAUGUCGACCUACCUCACAGGGCUGUUGUGAGGAAUAGCUAAGUGAUUGUAAAGCACUUUGAACGUAUACUUGCUUAUUAUUUAAGACUACAACAAUAAUAAUAUCAUAUGCCUGUUUACUACCAGAACUUUAAGAAAUUCUUGUUUUUCUUUGACCUCUUCUCUGUCCUGUAGUGAUCCAUCGAGAAAGAGAACUCUCCCCUUUUUGAGAUUUCUAGGAAAUGCAUAAAGAUGUAAACAGCAGGAACUCUUCAGGUUGUUUUCUCACAUCUUACAAAAAGUAGAUGCUUUUGCACAAGAAGUUGCUUCGAGGGGCGGGGGGAGGUCCCCUCUGAAAUUCUCAGCUGUUUCCAGGCAGUAGUUGAGGAGUCAGUACACCUGAUGCUGAGCCCAAGAUACCCAGAGGUUUAGUGCAAAGUUGAGUGCAAAACCUUGAAAUUCCUGAAAUGUCUAGAGAAGAGAAGGGUUACAAGCUCUGGUCUGUGCAGACUGGAGGCUGUGUGCAUGUGUGCGUGUGUGCAGGGCGUGGAGAGGCCCAGGAUGUGGGGAAGCCCAGCUCCUGGCUGUUCUCAUCCUCAGCCAGGCAGGGUGGGGGAGCCGUGUAGCCAGUGGGAAGAGUGGUGCUAGCAGAAGUCCCCCAGGCCCGUCCUAUGCAUGACUGAGAGGGUCCCUCCCAGCCUGGAGGUCUGCUCCAGUGAUGUCUUCUGUGCUGUGACCUUUGUUUCACUUGGGAAACAGGCCUGGCCCCCAAUUUGGUUCCUGUGUGUGUGCAGACUGUCUUAAGUCUAGGAGCUCGUGGUGGGUUUUCUGCAUUCUCACAGCAGAGUCCGUGGGGCCAGAGAACAGGGUUGACCUCUUCACACAGCACCAUGGGUGGUGACGUGGGCAUGGGGGCGACCCCUGUGAAAAUGUCGAAGCACAGCUGUACCUGCUAGUUGACAGCUGUGGCCCCCAGCACCUUGAGUCUCCUCACCCCCUGCUAACAUCCCAGCCCUGCACCAAACCCCUCUGUGAUUCAGUAACUAAAGGGCGAAUGCCUGGUGUAGCAGGGACCUCUGGGAGCCUAUUCUGGUCUGAAGGCCCACCUCUGCUCUGACUGGGUAGUGCCCGGGAUAAACCAGUUAUUAAGUAUGUGGUGUAUCAUCCCUGAAAAAGAAGCUGGUCAGCUCUGUGGGCUCAGGUAAGGAGUUUAUCCACCAUCACAAACGAUCCCCCUGUCCCUGACCGACUCUGAUGUCGUUUAUUAAAUACUAAAGGGAGUGUUUGUGCUCGCCCCCGCCCCCUGUCUGUGUCACCCCAUCUCAGAGGCCCACAGUGGCCAUCUGUCUUCUAGAUCUAAGUCUCUAUACACCAGAGCCUCAGCAGAGCAGCUCUAAGCAAUCCACGUGGCUGGUGUCUCCACAUGCCUUUCUGCACAGUCCUUCCACAUACGUAGAAACUGGAAAGCAGUAACUUUCUAGGUGGGAUUUACGGAACGGUCUAAAUGGAACGUGAGAAUCUUGCCCCGCGUGGGCCUGGCUGUGUGCUGAGUGACGGCCCUGGUGGUGGCUGGUGGCUGAGAUCAGUUGGUGAAGGACAGCCAGAAGUUGUCGGGGCCACCUCCCGCCUCGCUCGAAAGGGAAACGAGGCUUCCCUGGAACCUGGUUCACAGUCAAACUGCAGAUACCUCUGUCCUUUUCCCUAAGACCUUAAAAGAAGAGUAUAGCUUUAAACGUAGAAAAGUUGUAAGAGACAAGUCAUGUUUAAUAGGUCAGAUUGACAGACUCAGCAAACUCGGUGCCCAACACCAGAAUCCAUGGUGCUAAACUCUGAAGCUCCUGGAUGGAAGACACAAUGCAGGCCAGGAUCCAUCGCAGGGACACAGAUGUAGGAUCGGGCCUCAGGAUCUUCUUCAAUAGCUUACUCUAUGGUGUGACCUAAUUAAAAAUUCGGUUGAUCCACAGGAUUAUUGGGUACUGGAUUCUCUCCUCUUAAAGGCAGGAGAUCGCUCCUCUCUAAGAAUAGUAAUUAUUAUUUUCAAAAGUCUCUGAGACGAUAGAAUGACUGAAAAUAAGGGAAGUUACAUGAUGUCAUCGCAAAAGGUCUUAAUUACUGUGGCAUGCUAUUGACUAACACCCACCUAGGAGCCCUCUUUAGCCCAAACGUAUCACGAUUUGGUUAUCCACUGGCAGGAGCUUGCGAACACUCGUGGUUCCUUGGCUGGGUAGGUACCUGCACGAAUUAGUUCUCCCUGGCACACCGUAGCCCUGAGAGAGGUGGCUAUUGGGGGUAAUGGGAGGGCACAUCGUUCUAAGGCACAGUGAAGGCAACCCAUGCCAAAGGCUAACUCAGAGAAGCCACGAGAAGGAUGUUUCUUCCCAAAGUAGAGAAAGGUCGGGGGAGAUCACAGGAAUCCUGGAUGGGGGAAUAGCCCAGCUCCAGGAAAAGAUGGUGUUGCCUGUCUGAGGGCAGGUUAUCAUCAAGUUCUACAACUUUCUGGUCUCAGGAACCUUUUAUGCUCUUAAGAAUUAUCGAGGACCCUUCUGUAUCAAUAUUUACUACAUUAGGAAUUAAAGCAGAGAUUUUUAAAACGCAGAAUAUGCAAGCACAAAGUUGCCGGAGAGAUGAGAUCCCCAAGGUUUAUGCAGCCUUUGAAAAACCCCACUGUGCUCUCAGGAGAGGAUGAGAGCGUACAAGGCUGAGAGCAUCCUUGUCUUAUUAUGCAAAACACAAUGACCUCUUGGACCCUUUAAGGUGUCUCAGAGGGCCCCAGGGUCCUUGGGCCACACUUUGAGAACUGCUGCUCUGGGGGAUUGAUCCCAUAUCCCCCCCUAAAGGAAAAGGGUGCUGGAGCCUUUUUCCAAUCUCCUGCCCCUACCUUGAACUGUCCCCUAACUCCCAGGCCCGUCCCCAAUCCCAGCCCACUCACCUAUACAUGGAGCUGCCUGGGCCCCCAGCGUCCAGCCCGCGUUCAGGCUGAGAGUUGUACCGCACAUGCCAUGUCUCACUGCCUGUGCUGAUCUGGAGGAAUGGUGGUGUGAAUUCGUGUGUGAGAGAGAAGUGUCUGUAAGGAUCUCAGCUCCUGAGAGUGGCACGGCGGAGACAAGGAUAUGCGCUGAGUGUAGGACCAGUUUUUGCGAUACCUGGUGAUUUCUGUCAUUGCCGUGAUACAAGAGUGCUGCUGAGUUAGUUGUAAGAAGUUUCACCUUGAUUGAGUGGCAGCCACAGUCAUGUGGGGUUGCAGUCAUGAGUGAGCGCAUGGUGGGAACUGGAUCCUGGCACUCUUCCCCGUAGACCCCAAAAGGUGGGGCGGCAUGGUGUCAUUGGAACAGCCGAACUGCGCGUCGCGAUCCCUAGCUGAGCCAUCACUCGUGUGGGCAGGUCACUUAACCAAAUGGGAAUCAUCUUGGCUCUCCCCUCCCCGGCCCGCCCUCCCAAGAUGUAGUGGGAUAAAGUAUGUUACAUUGCAGUGACAAAGAUGCUAGCAGAAUAGGUCUCGAUUUGUGACUUCUGCUAAGCCCACAUUUUAAGUAAAACUCUCUCUGUUAUCAGGAAACUGGCAAGCAUUUCUCCAAUGCUGGUGUUAAAACUACAACCAAGAAUUAAGGUGGAACUAAAACAGUUGGCUUUGUCAGAUCAGAAGAAAUGUCACAGAUUGCUUUAGAUAAUUUUUUUUAAGUUGCAGGGAAAUGUCAUAGAUCACUUUAGGUAAUUUUUUUAAACUUCCCUUUAUCUUUCAAAAGGAAGGUAACAAACUCCAUGUACACAGCGGAGUGCCACCCCCAGGGUAACUUACAUGGUAAUGUUACAGCUGACUUUGCAGGGAGGGUGGGAAUCACUGUGCGUGACUCACGGGGGGCGUGCCUUCCUCGUAAUUCUAGCUCUUUAUGUUUAUAUAUAACUCGAGGACUGUUCAUAACGGACGCAGAGGCCACACCAUCACAUCUUCCCUGGUGGAGAACAAUGACAAAAGAAGGGGUGUGCCUGUGUGUGAUGUGUGUGCAUGUGGGGAUGCAGGGGAGGUGGAAUGGCUUAUAGAUAAACAGGUGUAUGCUGUGAGAAUUUAAUCUCCAGUUCUUUGUGCCGAGGGAGCUAGUCUAAAAUGAUCCCUUCUAAUUGGGUAGGGGCAGAAGCCUGCUAAAGGGUUAACCAGAACUCGCCUUUAACGAGAUGACCGAGCAGGGCCGGCCUUGGCUGCGGGAGACCUGCCUGUGAUAGAGACCCGGCUCUGCUCUUUGGCUGGAGCCUGAAAGCCUGGCACUCAUACCCGAAGAUGGAUGGCCUGGCCCAGUCCCAACUGGAGACUCACAUCUCUUAUCUGCACUGUUACAGUGUAGGUUCAGGAGGGGUUCCGGGGCGUUUCUACGUGCUGAGAGCUGGCAGACGACCGGUGUGAGUGAUGGCGCUAGCUUAGGGAGACAGGCAGUGAAAGCAUUUCAGAUGCACCAGGUAGGAAAAACUUAACCCUGAAAGUGGGCAAGAGAAAGGAAGGUAAAUGAAUGUUCCUACUUGAGGUUAAAAUAUCAUACAUUUAUGCUAUUGCUUCAGAAAUAUUUACAGAGAUUUUAUAGUUUGGGGUUUUUUUUUUUUUUUUUGGUGACUUAAUCAUUCACUAGAGUAAAUAUCUAUAAAAUUCCAAUUAAAUGGUGUCUAAAAUUUAAAGCAGCGGUCUACAGGCAAAGCGCCAACAUUUCUUUUUUUAACAAAAAUAUUUAUGAGAACAUCUAGCAUUUAAAAAUCAACCAGAAACUAGGUUUGAUUCUGUUUAAUAUUUUAUAUGAUUGGACAUCUUAAAACAAAUCGAUAAUGUUUAUAUUUUAUAGAAAUUCUGUGUUUAUUCAAAACCAUAAUUCUACUGUGAUGUUAAUGGAAUGACUUUAUAUGGCUUUAAUUGUGUUGGUUUAAAUGCUAAUGACCACAUUUCAAAUUAAAGUAGUAUUUUGCUGAUAGGGGUAGACACAGAUAUGACAUAUGAAAGAACAGAUAAUUUUACUGAUUGUAAAGUGUUUAUUUCCAGAAAAAAAUGUUCUUUUUUUUUUUUUUAAGGGCUGUGAAAAAAAGUCAUUUUUUCAAGGGUUUAAGAUAGAUUUCUGCACUUUGGGAAUUGGAACUUGUGCCUAUGGAAUUUUUGGAGCAGCCUAAGCUACCUUUUAGCUUGAUAUGUGUGUGCUAGAAAAUUUUUCAUUACCAUGUUUUGUGAUAUGUAAUAAAUUCAGGGUGCUGUGCUUAAGCUUCGUUUCAAUUCAAGUUUGGGAACAUCUGUUUCCCUCAUUCCCAACCCUGGCAGACACCCCUACUCCCCAUAGUACCUCCCCCCUCCCUCCCCGUCUGUCCUUCCUCGGAUCCCCUGUGAAAGAGUCCAGUCAGUCUCUGACUCUUAGGAGGUGUGUUCCUUCCUGCGUGGAGCAAAGCAAAAUAUAAUCAUGAUUUCUGAGCCUCUGCUCUCCUGUCUGGGAAGAGUGAUGCUUUCUCUCCUCCUUUGAUGUCUCUUUAAUAAAUAUGUUGUCCUUAUUUGUCUUUGGACAUGGCCUCUUGGGCCACCUCUCAAUUUCCUCCAUGAUUUAUGUUGCAAACAAAUUCUCUGUCCUGUGUGUUUGUUCACUGCUCUCUCCUAAUCUUGUGUAUCAUUGAAGACAUGCUGGAGACAGUUUUUGGUUUUAUUAUGCAAUUAUGUCAUAUGUGUAUUUCAGUGAAAUGUCAAGCCGUCAACAGAGGAUGAUGUUAAAAAUUAUCCAAAUAAAUAGUUUUCUAUUUCUUCUAAUCAGACCUAGUCCAGUCAGUUGAAUGACAGUGAACAGGAUUAUCUGUUGUUAUUUAAACAGUUUUCCUGGCCCACGCUGCCUUGGGACGUGGAUUAAGGUACAUAAUUUACCUGGGGAUGCUGACUCGGUGCACUGUCACCUGUGUGUGUUUUGUGGCAACGGAAGCAGGUGUCUCAAACCUGGUCUCUUGCUUGGGAGCCUCAGAUAUGUAACAGCUCUUUCUUUCCAGUGAUCCAAAAUCAGAUGGUGAAACUCUGGCUUCGUUUAUCUUCCCUUGAUAACUGUGCCCUACAGAACACUGCCUGGAUGAAUUGCAGGCUGUUCAGUACGACUGGGCUCAACCUUGCUGCCCAGGCCUGCAGCUCUGCUGUGCAAGAGCUUUUCAUCCACUUGGCAUUAGAGUUGCCUUCCUGAUGUUUCCCUGAGAAUGGUGUGGGUCUGCCUCUAAGACAGAUGAUUUCCCAGGCUCAGAUGUGCCGGAAGCGGGGUCCUGAGAGAGGAAAAGAGUGAGCGUGUGUGUGUGUGUGUGCGCGCGUGUACAUGUGUGUGCUUGUAGCUGUACGUGUGUGCACGUCUGAGUGCGUGUGUCUGCUGCCUGUGAUCAGAGGGACAGGUGAGUGAGAGGCAGCCUCACUGCCCACACCACAAACUGUUCUGGCUUUGGCCCUGGGACACGUGUGUCCUUCCCCUGCGAGACCACAGCCUUCUUAGCCGGGAACCUUAAGGCUUUGACUCCAGGCAGCUCGUUCACCCCCACGGUUCAUAAAAUGGAAAGGUCUGGGGCUCCUGUAUGCAAAGAAUGGUUCAAACCAGACGCAGCCUGGUGUGCGACCUUUAAAAGGAUCCUCUCGCAGGCUGAGGGCUGUUACGAACGAAGCCAUUUUCACGAGAGCCUCUUGGGCGGUUCCAUAGGACUGCAGAAGACCGGUCUGAGCGUUCCCACACUCGUGGGCUCGGUCCUGCCGGAUCUGGCAAGAUGGGGGCCACCCUCCCCUCCUCCCCUCCCCCCCACCCCCUCCACUGCCCGGCGUGUCUCAAACGUGGUCAUCACGCUUUGUCUGUGCCCUGUACCACCCGCUGCCGGGGCUUGUGGAGGAAGGACAGGGAAGCGGUCCCCCCCCUCACACUGGGGGGUGUUAGCUGCGGGUGGAGACCCGCACAGCCAGGGCCUCACAUGUUCUCCACACCUUUAGUGGCUACUGAGGUGCAGACAGACGGCCGGCAGGUGAGGGGGUACCACCCGGGUACAGGACGGGUGACCUUAGACCGGGGACAGGGAGGGAAUGCCUCUUUCCGAUGCCAGUCUUUUUGUGUCCAAGGAUAGAGUAACUGUACUCUCCCUAUUAGUGUGCCAUUUUUCUUCAAAUUGUUGGUCAAAACAUAAUUUUCUCAGAGCCAGCAACCACCCCUCCCCCAUAGGUAGUCCAUAAGCAUCUCGAAUACUUCCCUAGAGAAAUUUAAGUACAAUGGGAGGGCUUCUCCCAGGCCCUGUCCCACUGGAACCCGGGGCCCAGGGUGAGGAAGGCCGGCCGUGAGGGCCUCGGGGAAAUGCAGAACGUCCGUGAGGGGCCUAAGGGGUCACCUGGCAGGUCUGGCGCCGCCUCCAGAGGCUGGAGCCCCUUUCAGUGUGUUGUGGUCUUCAAGAGGAUGACCCAACCAUUGGCGAGUUCUCCACCUGAGCACAGGCUGCAGGCCCAGGUGCCAACAGAUGGCCAUGGAGCCUGGCCCUGCACGGCAGCCCAGGUCUGUGCGUGUCUGUCCAUCGCGUUCUGGUCCUGAAUGUGCUGGUGGCUGCAGUGUGUUUUGUCCUGCCCUCGUUCCCAUGGCUUUGAAGCAGAACCAGUGGCCCAGUUGGCUGCCUGGUCUGCUGGCCCUCUGGCACCUGCACUAGGCUUCUCAUCCUGGACACAGCCAGCGAGCGCUUGCCACCCUCCCUGUAAAACAGCCGCGCCGUGCUCCUCGCCCCGUCCGAGGCUCCGGGAGAUGGCGCUCUGCGGGCCAUCCUUCUGUAGACAGUCCUUUAGACAUGGGCCUGGGCUCUUGGCCAUGGCAGACCCUAGUACUAGUAAGCAAGCGCUGUUCCCUGCGAGUGGGGGUGCUUGAAAAGGCGGUCACUGGCCUCAAGCAUCCCAGCCCAGGACCAUCUUGAACUCCUGACCACACCCUCCAUCCCUGAGGCUGCAGGGACACCAUCAGUUACAUUCAAACAAGUGGUCAGUUCCCUGGACUGUCCUUUGGAGAAACCUUCCCCUCCCACAACUGAAUCAGGCAGGAGCAAAGCCAGGACCCAGGCUGGGCCCAGGCCACCCGUGUUGUCUAACCUGUUUUGCCAUUUUCAUUGAUCUAGGCGGGAUUAAGGACACUGCACGACAUUGGGCCAGAAAUCCGGCGUGCUAUCUCAUGUGAUUUGCAAGAUGACGAGCCAGAGGAAACAAAAGGCGAAGAAGAAGAAGAUGUGUUCAAAAGAAAUGGUGCCCUGCUUGGAAACCAUGUCAAU
Molecule: non-coding RNA, 14646 nt
Organism: Globicephala melas (long-finned pilot whale)
Lineage: Eukaryota; Metazoa; Chordata; Mammalia; Artiodactyla; Delphinidae
Source: RefSeq, a predicted model, not a curated record